This 480-nucleotide ribosomal RNA is filed under the name uncultured bacterium. Its description in RNAcentral is "partial 16S ribosomal RNA". It matches the Rfam family "Bacterial small subunit ribosomal RNA", at positions 28 to 507 of the family's 1533-position model. The record is from RNAcentral.
GAUGAACGCUGGCGGCGUGCUUAACACAUGCAAGUCGAACGGAACUACUCCAAUGAGAGUCUUCGGAAAGGAUUUGGUUUAGUUUAGUGGCGGACGGGUGAGUAACGCGUGGGUAACCUGCCCUAUACAGGGGGAUAACAGUUGGAAACGACUGUUAAUACCGCAUAAGCGCACAGGAGCGCAUGCUCCGGUGUGAAAAACUCCGUGGGUAUAGGAUGGACCCGCGUCUGAUUAGCUGGUUGGCGGGGUAACGGCCCACCAAGGCGACGAUCAGGAGCCGGCCUGAGAGGGUGAACGGCCACAUUGGGACUGAGACACGGCCCAAACUCCUACGGGAGGCAGCAGUGGGGAAUAUUGCACAAUGGGGGAAACCCUGAUGCAGCGACGCCGCGUGAGCGAAGAAGUAUCUCGGUAUGUAAAGCUCUAUCAGCAGGGAAGAAAAUGACGGUACCUGACUAAGAAGCCCCGGCUAACUACGUG